RNAcentral lists this long non-coding RNA (1055 nucleotides) under Mastacembelus armatus (zig-zag eel). RNAcentral describes it as "lncRNA (ENSMAMG00000026504.1)". Lineage: Eukaryota; Metazoa; Chordata; Actinopteri; Synbranchiformes; Mastacembelidae. The record is from RNAcentral.
AAAUGAAAUUUUCGUCUGAUAACGUGUUUAUACAUUUCGUUAGCUACCGCGCUUCGUAACAAUAUAGUGAGCGGACUUUCCUAUAGACAGCCGUUUGUUACAUAAAAAAAACACAGGCACGUGAGCAGCAGGCUCGAGCCGUGAUUGGUCAGAGCGUCUCGGUUACAAAACCUGCGCUGGAAAGUUUCGUAACUACGGAAGGGACGUAAGAAGUUUAUACUGUUAGACUGGACCAUGUGGAUCCUGCUGCCCUGCUCUUACAUCCCUCCAAUAACAAUAAAACCAAACAAACACUUUAUAUAACCGUUUGAUAUGUCAGUCAAUAAGAUAGAGUUUGUAAAAGCUGUCAGGAAACGUACUGAGAAAAAAAACCCUUCAUACCUGGUUAUGCAAUUUGAGUUUGUAACACCUAUAAUUUAUUUUUAGCGUCCUUAGCUGUCUGUCUGUUUUUAAUGGCAUUUUCUGAGACUUAUUUCUUCAUACCUAUCUCUACAAAAAAAUUUACGCUUCAGUCUGCUGCGGAGGCAGCAUAAAGCAGAAGGCUGCAAUGAGACUGGACUCACUGGACGCUGUGGUGGAGAGAUGCACACAGAGCCCACCCUGGAAUACAUUGAUCAUACCCUUCACUACAUGCUGAUGGAGCAGAGAAGCAGCUGCAGUGGACGACUCACCUCACUGCGCUGCAGGAGUUAAAGAUACAAGAGAUCCUUCAACCCCACUGCCAUCAGGCUCUACAACACCUUAGCCAAUGGCAGACCAAAAAUGCCAUGGUUGAAAAAACACCCUUUAGCAAAGUUUGCAUAAAAAAACAAAGGAAGAAAAAAACCAUGAAUGCAAUACUGUGUAGUUAUUUGAAUUAGCUAUUUUAUUUAGGGUGGUUGUUUGAGCUUGGGGGCAGCAUAAUAAUUUAGUCCAGCACUAAAAACCUUUGUCAAGUGGCCUUUAGCCUUCAGGAAUAUCUGGACAUGUUCAUUCAGGUGUUGCUAAGUUCUUUUGGGAAGGGUAAUUUGCUUAGUUGAAAGGCAAUAAUGUAGAAAAUGUUUCAAAAAAUUAGU